CGCACGGAGAGAGCAGAGGGUGUCCCAUACUGAUUUGAACCUCAGCUGACUGUGAAAAUGGUUUUGAAAGCUGCCAAAGACAGUUUUAGAGAACUUUAGGAUGCCCGUGAACCACACCUGCUCCCCCUCUCAUCACUGACAGACAAGUCAGACAAGUCAAAGAGCUUUCACCCAGGAAAGGAAGCCAGUGGAGGUGACCACUUCAGCAGAGGACUCAGCAGCAGACGACUCAGUAAGAGCUUUGCCUGUGUGUUUUCAUGCUCCGGUGGACAGACGCAAGGAGAACCAGUGGAAGCAACAGAAAGGAGUGAGAUGAAAAAGGCUCAACAGCCGGAGACGCUGCACAGACGCACUGAGAACCUGCAGGAGCAAGCUCGUCAUCGGUAGAUCCAGGGCACAACGUGUUGAUCAGUGAGCUUUACACCUGCUGAUGUCAGGGAUGAGUAUGUAGAAGAGAGGUGAGUGCACACACACACACGCACGCACACACACACACACACACACACACACAGACACACACACACACACAGAGAGCUGUAUUUGUGUAUGCGUGUGAAAUAUGAGAUGGAGCAGCAGCAGCAGGACAGGAAGUUGGUAUUAUGUAGGUCUGUUGGGGGUUAAAGUCAUUUCCUGUUUACCCUGCCCCUUCCACACGCUGCCCCCCACCCCCCCUCCCCCCGGACUGUAAAUAGUACAAAGAAGGAAAAUAUAGUAGACAUAUAAUAACUAAGAUCACAGCCAUCAGUCAAAGUUUCAGAUUAUGCCGAUCACAUUGCCCAGAACAGAAGACUGGAGUUGAAUAAAGUUACAUUUGAAAUAAUAAAGUAUUGUAAAAAUUAUUAUAAUUGUCAUAAAACACUGAUCUGAAAGAAAGAUCGGGUCCCCUCAGACGGACCAGCGGAACAUCUCAGCUAGGGGAACUAACAUGCCCAGAGACGGCAGCAGCAUGGGGAAUCAACACGCCGUCUAACCUGACCUGUCCGUGCACCGUCUGCUACGUCUGUGAUGUGAUGUUUUCUCCCGUCGACGUCUUGUUCUUCCCUGCGGCCCACGGUGCAGUGCUGCAUCUCUGGUCAGUUGGUAGUCUGAGAUGAAGCACUGUAGCUCGGGAUGGAGGACAGAAAUACCAAUCUGCAGAUCAGCAGCAGAUCUCCAAGGAGCCGGUUUGCCUCAGUCAGGCAGAAUGACGUGGGUGAUGGUGGGGGGGUGGGGACAGGAGGGACGCAUGGACACAAACUGUGGAGACACAGGACCAUUCCACAAAUUCUGCUCCAUCCAUUCAUCAAAAAAAAGAGUUCACUGACCUCUUGCUUUUCUUCUCCUCUCUCCUGGGGUCCAGUUUUCCCAGGAAUCCCUUGACCUAUCAGAAAGGGGGAUUCCUGGAAAUACUGUUCUUGGGGGCGGGGCUUAUCACCACUUCCAUGUACAGUAUGUUCGAGAGCUCGAGAGAAACACAACUAACUUGUUGUUUCAGUUAUGUGAUGCGAUGCGAAGAUGUAAUGUCCUACAUGAUUACUGCUCCUUCUUUAAUAAACCUUCAAGACAAAGACAUGUUUGAAUUUAUUGUCAUUUACUAUAAGGGUAUGCUGCAGUUUGAGAUUAGAGUGCAGGAGAAAAAAAAUGUCCUGCUUUUAAAAUAAAAUAUUCAUCGUUUUAAAUUCACAAGACCCACUUCUCAGAGGUGAGCUCACUUUUUCCGAACUCUUUUCAGACUCAGUCACCAGCAAACCUCUGUGGAUUUACACUGCAGUUCACACAUUUACGUGCUCUAUUGUCUCUAUAACAUGGACCCAGACACAGACAAAGAGAGACUUCAUAGAGUGUCCUCAGCCCCACAGAGGAAUUCUUCUCUUCAUGGAGGUGGAGAGUUUAUGAUCAGGUGUCCCUCUGGGACACAGUGAAACUCAAAGCUGCUUCAAAGACAGUAGUGAUCCGUAUUGUAACGCUGCCUGUGGUUUGUGUGUUUUAGAUCAGUGUGUUUCUCUGGGACUCAGAUGUGGAUCCAGUCUGUUGUUGCAUUGGUGCAUUUUGGGUGUGAGAUGAACUGUGGUGCUGAGCUGCAUGUUGGUAAAGAGACGUGUGUGAAGAGUUUUAAAAGGGGAACUCAGGACAGAAAUUUGAGUCACCAAAAAAAAAAAAAAAAAUCUGUAAGAACCAAAGUCUUAUAUAGCAUCAUAUAGUAAAAUUAUUACAGUAAAAAGAACUUCCUGUAGCUAAAGUGAAGGUAAAGAUAUCUUUGUUUAUUGUGCAAUAUUGGAAAACACUUUACUUCUUUGGGUCUGAAACAGUUACUGCAAUGAAACCACAUGAGAGGUUUAGAGGGUAAAUAUCUCUGGUGGAACUGAUAACUCACAGACAGAAACAUGACGAGGAGAUACAACUACAUUCUGACUUUAGCCAGCAGCUCACAAGUCAAAAUUGUGCGGAACGGCUGAUUUAACAUUUUACAAUAUUUUGUAUUUUAUAAUCUUAUAGUAUGUUUUUAAUGUAAAAUCUUAUUCUGAAGAGUAACUAGUAACUGUAGCAGCUGUUAGAGGAAUCUAGUGCAUUAAACCAUAGAAUAUUUCUCUCUGACAUGAAGUGCAGUAGGAGUAUAAAACAACAUAAAAUGGAAAUACAAGUACAGAAAAAAAGAGAAAAAAAAUUCUUUGUUUUUGGCCUAAGGUCAGCUAAAAUAAAAAAGGUGAUUUUUACAUAUUUAGAGUGAUUUUAAGGUGCCUGUUCUUUCAACAACAACAACAACAACAACAAAAAGAUCGUUGUCGGUGUAUAUAUUUUGAUGUCUAAGAUGUGAGAAGCUUCAUGUGUCAAAGCCACGAUCACGAAGUGGCUCAGUUCUUUCUCUCACACUCCUCUCUCUGCUCUGAGCCUCACAUAUCUGAGCAACGACAGCUGUAAGCAACAUCCUCAGACUGCAGGUCAUGCACAGAAAGAUGGAGACAGUGUGAGUCAGCAGAAACACCGUCUUCCACCACAUACUGUACACUA
This is a long non-coding RNA of Toxotes jaculatrix (banded archerfish), 2988 nucleotides long. RefSeq lists it as uncharacterized. The record is from RefSeq and is a predicted model, not a curated record. Lineage: Eukaryota; Metazoa; Chordata; Actinopteri; Toxotidae. The transcript has 4 exons.